AGCUGGAAUAGGAUGAAGAGCUGAAGGAAUUACUCUGCAGUCCCACAGAGCUAUGUCUGUUUUCCUGGCUGAGUUUCCCUUAAGCUGAGUUUCCUGUCUGUAAAAGGCUCUGGAUCUGACUUUCUCCAGGAUCUUUCUUCUACUCUCCAUCUUCCAAUGUCUUUAGGAAGAUCACUCCAGGAAAAGUUUGGAAGAUGGACCAGGCAGGAGCCAUUCAAAAAGUCAAGGACAGCAGCAACUCCAAAUGGUCCCCCACCUAACCCAUUCACAUCUUGCCCUUUAGAAACAUUAGACUGUCCCGGACUUUUCCCAUCUACACCCUGCUCUAUCUUCCUGCCUUUUUUUUUUGUACACUUCUCACUUAAC
Non-coding RNA from Heterocephalus glaber (naked mole-rat), 366 nucleotides. NCBI's taxonomy places the organism in Eukaryota, Metazoa, Chordata, Mammalia, Rodentia, Bathyergidae. The record is from RefSeq and is a predicted model, not a curated record.